CUCUUAGGAAAAAAUAUGACCAGGCAGACUAAAAGUUCUAGAAAGUUGAAACAUCACACUUCAAUGGCUAGAAGUUUGCUAUACAUUAUUUGUCUAGCUCAGUGUCAUCAUGUGAAAGGUCUUUGCUUUGCUCAUUUUCCAGUAGUACGACCAUUGUCAUGGUUGUGCAGUAUAUCUAAAUGAAUUUCUAAGUUUACUAAUUG
This 203-nucleotide long non-coding RNA is filed under the name Hordeum vulgare. RNAcentral describes it as "long non-coding RNA (HVUL_LNC016720)". The record is from RNAcentral. Lineage: Eukaryota; Viridiplantae; Streptophyta; Magnoliopsida; Poales; Poaceae.